AAGUUAUUGUCCUGGCAACAGGAGCGACCAUAAAGAAGCCGUCGAGAGACAUCGGAAGAGUUUUCUUUCCUCUUAUAUAGUCGUACUACCAUGGAAGUCUUUCGUAGAGAGAUAUGGUAGAUGGGCUAGAAGAGCAUGACAUUCACUGUCGAUAUUUUCUCCUCGGAUCUUGAAACUUUAUAGUGGGGUCACGCAAACUU
This 200-nucleotide non-coding RNA is filed under the name Glossina palpalis gambiensis. Its description in RNAcentral is "eukaryotic large subunit ribosomal RNA". It matches the Rfam family "Eukaryotic large subunit ribosomal RNA", at positions 1631 to 1835 of the family's 3401-position model. Lineage: Eukaryota; Metazoa; Arthropoda; Insecta; Diptera; Glossinidae. The record is from RNAcentral.